UUGCAAAAGGUAAUAUGCUAGUGUGUUC
This 28-nucleotide non-coding RNA is filed under the name Homo sapiens (human). The record is from RNAcentral. Lineage: Eukaryota; Metazoa; Chordata; Mammalia; Primates; Hominidae.